GAUACCACCCUUGUAGUACUGGGACUCUAACCAUAGGCCAUGAAUCUGGUCUUGGGACACUGUCAGGUGGGCAGCUUGACUGGGGCGGUCGCCUCCCAAAAGGUAACGGAGGCGCUCAAAGGUUCUCCCAGUACGGUCGGAAAUCGUACGUAGAGUGUAAAGGCAAAAGAGAGCUUGAUUGCAAGACAUACAGGUCGAGCAA
Molecule: ribosomal RNA, 202 nt
Filed under: Clostridioides difficile
Lineage: Bacteria; Bacillati; Bacillota; Clostridia; Peptostreptococcales; Peptostreptococcaceae
Description: partial 23S ribosomal RNA
Rfam family: Bacterial large subunit ribosomal RNA
Source: RNAcentral